RNAcentral lists this ribosomal RNA (931 nucleotides) under Ramaria villosa. RNAcentral's name for it is "Gautieria villosa partial large subunit ribosomal RNA". It matches the Rfam family "Eukaryotic large subunit ribosomal RNA", at positions 45 to 960 of the family's 3401-position model. Lineage: Eukaryota; Fungi; Basidiomycota; Agaricomycetes; Gomphales; Gomphaceae. The record is from RNAcentral.
AAUAAGCGGAGGAAAAGAAACUAACAAGGAUUCCCCUAGUAACGGCGAGUGAAGCGGGAUGAGCUCAAAUUUGUAAUCUGGCGGCCUCUGGUCGUCCGAGUUGUAGUCUGGAGAAGCGUUUUCCGCGUCGGACCGUGUACAAGUCCCUUGGAACAGGGCGUCGUAGAGGGUGAGAAUCCCGUCUUUGACACGGACUGCCGAUGCUUUGUGAUGCGCUCUCGAAGAGUCGAGUUGUUUGGGAAUGCAGCUCAAAACGGGUGGUAAAUUCCAUCUAAAGCUAAAUAUGGGCGAAAGACCGAUAGCGAACAAGUACCGUGAGGGAAAGAUGAAAAGCACUUUGGAAAGAGAGUUAAACAGUACGUGAAAUUGUUGAAAGGGAAACGCUUGAAGUCAGUCGCGUCUCCUGGGACUCAGCCUUGCUUCUGCUUGGUGUACUUCCUGGGACGACGGGCCAGCAUCGAUUUUGAUCGUCGGAGAAAGGCCUUGGGAACGUGGCACCUUUGGGUGUGUUAUAGCCCUUGGUCGUAUGCGACGGUUGGGAUUGAGGACCGCAGCACGCCUUUUUGGCCGGGGUUCGCCCACGUACGUGCUUAGGAUGCUGGCGUAAUGGCUUUAAGCGACCCGUCUUGAAACACGGACCAAGGAGUCUAACAUGCCUGCGAGUGUUUGGGUGGUAAACCCGGACGCGAAAUGAAAGUGAAAAGUUGGGACCUCUGUCGUGGAGGGCACCGACGCCCGGACCAGACCUUCUGUGACGGUUCCGAGGUAGAGCAUGCAUGCUGGGACCCGAAAGAUGGUGAACUAUGCUUGAGUAGGGUGAAGCCAGAGGAAACUCUGGUGGAGGCUCGUAGCGAUUCUGACGUGCAAAUCGAUCGUCGAACUUGAGUAUAGGGGCGAAAGACUAAUCGAACCAUCUAGUAGCUGGGUCCUG